UAAUAUGGUGAGGUAUUGCUGUGAGGCGGU
Molecule: non-coding RNA, 30 nt
Filed under: Rattus norvegicus (Norway rat)
Lineage: Eukaryota; Metazoa; Chordata; Mammalia; Rodentia; Muridae
Source: RNAcentral